CAGCAGGCGCGAAAACUUUACAAUGCGGGAAACCGUGAUAAGGGGACACCGAGUGCCAGCAUCAUAUGCUGGCUGUCCAGGUGUGCAAAAUACACCUGUUAGCAAGGGCCGGGCAAGACCGGUGCCAGCCGCCGCGGUAACACCGGCGGCCCGAGUGGUGAUCGUGAUUAUUGGGUCUAAAGGGUCCGUAGCCGGUUUGGUCAGUCCUCCGGGAAAUCUGACAGCUUAACUGUUAGGCUUUCGGAGGAUACUGCCAGACUUGGAACCGGGAGAGGUAAGAGGUACUACAGGGGUAGGAGUGAAAUCUUGUAAUCCCUGUGGGACCACCUGUGGCGAAGGCGUCUUACCAGAACGGGUUUGACGGUGAGGGACGAAAGCUGGGGGCACGAACCGGAUUAGAUACCCGGGUAGUCCCAGCCUAAACGAUGCUCGCUAGGUGUCAGGCAUGGCGCGACCGUGUCUGGUGCCGCAGGGAAGCCGUGAAGCGAGCCACCUGGGAAGUACGGCCGCAAGGCUGAAACUUAAAG
RNAcentral lists this ribosomal RNA (527 nucleotides) under uncultured archaeon. Its description in RNAcentral is "bacterial SSU rRNA". It matches the Rfam family "Archaeal small subunit ribosomal RNA", at positions 333 to 861 of the family's 1478-position model. The record is from RNAcentral.